RNAcentral lists this ribosomal RNA (372 nucleotides) under uncultured organism. RNAcentral describes it as "partial 16S ribosomal RNA". It matches the Rfam family "Bacterial small subunit ribosomal RNA", at positions 527 to 896 of the family's 1533-position model. The record is from RNAcentral.
GUAGGUGGCAAGCGUUGUCCGGAAUUAUUGGGCGUAAAGCGCGCGCAGGCGGUCCUUUAAGUCUGAUGUGAAAGCCCACGGCUCAACCGUGGAGGGUCAUUGGAAACUGGGGGACUUGAGUACAGAAGAGGAAAGCGGAAUUCCAAGUGUAGCGGUGAAAUGCGUAGAGAUUUGGAGGAACACCAGUGGCGAAGGCGGCUUUCUGGUCUGUAACUGACGCUGAGGCGCGAAAGCGUGGGGAGCAAACAGGAUUAGAUACCCUGUAGUCCACGCCGUAAACGAUGAGUGCUAAGUGUUAGGGGGUUUCCCGCCCCCUUAGUGCUGCAGCUAACGCAUUAAGCACUCCGCCUGGGGAGUACGGCCGCAAGGCUG